AAUAAAAUUGCAAAUGGCGGACGUAAACACCGGAGGCGGCAACUUUUACAAAUGCAUGGAUGAAUACGUAAAGCGUCUCAUAAUGAGCAGGAUGGCCAAUGGGCACCUCUUCUCUGGGCACAGGAACGCAGCCCUGUUUGGAUGGGAAACUGUUCUGAAAGAGAUGGGGUUGCUUGGUGUGGUAACCCCUGCCACAAAGUGGGAAAAAUUUAACCUACAAGAGCACAAGUUUGAGACCACUUAAGGGAGCUAAGGAAGCCACCCACCCACCUCAUGGACUGCACCAGAUUUGCCAGUUCUUGCUCCAAGGCACUUGCAAGUUCCUGGACAUUUCUGGGGGGAAUGGCCCUAACCCUCACCCUCCGUUCCAACAGGACCCAGACGUGCACAAUAGGAUUGAGAUCCAGGCUCUUCGCUGGCCAUGGCAGAACACUGACAUUCCUGUCUUGCAGGAAAUAAUGCACAGAUCGAGCUGUAUGGCUGGUGGCAUUGUCAUGCUGGAGGGACAUGUCAGGAUGAGCCUGCAGGAAGGGUACCACAUGAGGGAGGAGGAUGUCUUCCCUGUAAUGCACAGCAUUGAGAUUGACUGCAAUGAUAGCAAGCUCAGUCCGAUGAUGCUGUGACACACCGCCCCAGACCAUGACGGACCCUCCACCUCCAAAUCGAUCCAGAGUACAGGCCUCGGUGUAACACUCAUUCCAUCGACGAUGGACAGUGGAAUUUAUCUCUGCACAUCUGCAGUCCUCUUGCCUUCAUGUAGCAUGCCUAAGACAUGUUCAUGCAGAUGAACAGGGACACUGGGCAUCUUUCUUUUGGUGUUUUUCAGAGUCAGUAGAAAGAUCUCUUUAGUGUCCUAAGUUUUUAUAACUGUGACCUUGCCAUUUGUAAGCUGUUAGUGUCUUAAUGACCAUUCCACAGGUGCAUUUUCAUUAUUUGUUUAUGGUUCAUUGAACAAGCAUGGAAACA
This is a long non-coding RNA of Xyrauchen texanus (razorback sucker), 966 nucleotides long. RefSeq lists it as uncharacterized. NCBI's taxonomy places the organism in Eukaryota, Metazoa, Chordata, Actinopteri, Cypriniformes, Catostomidae. The transcript is spliced from 5 exons. The record is from RefSeq and is a predicted model, not a curated record.